This 460-nucleotide ribosomal RNA is filed under the name uncultured bacterium. Its description in RNAcentral is "partial 16S ribosomal RNA". It matches the Rfam family "Bacterial small subunit ribosomal RNA", at positions 338 to 795 of the family's 1533-position model. The record is from RNAcentral.
CCUACGGGAGGCAGCAGUGAGGAAUAUUGGUCAAUGGACGAGAGUCUGAACCAGCCAAGUAGCGUGAAGGAUGACUGCCCUAUGGGUUGUAAACUUCUUUUAUAAAGGAAUAAAACGAGGCACGUGUGCCUUUUUGCAUGUACUUUAUGAAUAAGGAUCGGCUAACUCCGUGCCAGCAGCCGCGGUAAUACGGAGGAUCCGAGCGUUAUCCGGAUUUAUUGGGUUUAAAGGGAGCGUAGAUGGGUUGUUAAGUCAGUUGUGAAAGUUUGUGGCUCAACCGUAAAAUUGCAAUUGAUACUGGCAGUCUAGAGUACAGUUGAGGUAGGCGGAAUUCGUGGUGUAGCGGUGAAAUGCUUAGAUAUCACGAAGAACUCCGAUUGCGAAGGCAGCUUACUAAACUGCCACUGACAUUGAUGCUCGAAAGUGUGGGUAUCAAACAGGAUUAGAUACCCGGGUAGUC